UUAGCCAGGAUGCUGUCAAUCUCCUGACCUCGUGAUCUCCCCGCUUCAGCCUCCCAAAGUGCUGGGAUUACAGGCCUGAGCCACCACGCCCGGCUGCAUCUGUUGACUUUUGUAGUCAUAACCAACAACCUCGAUAUUUCAGUGGCUUAUGAUAACAAACAUCAUUUCUCAUGCAUGUUGCAUGAGGGCUGUAGUUUGGCUGUGGUUCUGCUGGACUCUGCUGGGCUUGGCUGGGCCCUACAUGCCUUCUCAUUUGAGAGCGCAGGCUCACAGUGGUCUCACGUUGGGACAUGCUCUUCUCAUGAUAGAAGUCAGAAGCACCAGGGACAGAGCCACACCAUGCAAGAGCACAUUAAAGCUUCUUGCUCCCGUGAGAUAGAUGUCACGCCCGCUAACAUUCCAUGGACUAAUGCAAAUCAAAUGGCCAAGCCACAAUAAGUGGAGUGGGCCCUGAGAGAGAGAAUCAGUAUUGUGAGCAAAUGUACACUCUAUCACUGGGACGGAGUGGUUACUGGAACUUGGAGGCAGAGAGCAUUGUGAAAAGGCAGCCUGACAGAAGCUGAGACCUUGCCAAGGCUGCAGCCAACCGUGGAGCAUGCAGAAAGGAUCUGGGGGAACCAACAGCCCAAGCCCAUCUCUUCCCUUUCGCCAGUCUCUGGUCAUUCCUCGUUGUGGCUGUACCCAUCUGAAAGUCAAAGGCAAGAGACUUUGUUCUGUGGCUCUUAAAGGCCAGCUUCCUGGGACAGAGAACAGGGUGGGUGGCAAAGGGCAGAGGGUGAAUCUGGAGAGGCGCAUGAGAUGAUUUGAUCAUAAUCGAAUUCAUAAGAAAGACAUUAAAGUUGCAGAAAAUGUGCUACAAAACAUUUCUUAAAAACCAGCAGCUCCUCAUUUCUAAAUGACUUAGGAGGAAUUCCAGGCUGACUGUUCGUAAAGUGAAAAUGGGGGAAAAAUUAAGAUGGCAAUAAAUCUUCCAUGAGUUUGUGCUAUAAAUCUAGGGGAAAAUUCUUUUGGGUGACAUAAGGCAUAACCUUUAACAGCUAAUAUUCUUGAAACUGUUUGCAUCUGACCGUUCUGAGUCCCUAAGUGGUUUCCAUUCCAACAUUGUCAUUUAUCUUGUGAUAUUUACUUUAUUGUGGUAAGUCGCAAUGUUUUUUUUUUUUCUUCUCAGAGAGUCUGUGAUAAAAUAAACUCACCAGAGUAAGAUGAAUGCCAACUUAUUAAAAAGCCUCUCUUAGAAGGGAAUGGAGCUAUGCUGGCCCAGUAAGAGGGUUUAGUUGCAGCCAACAGAAACAACUCUAGCAAUUUUUAAUCAGGAAGAGAAUUAAGCACUCAUAAAAUCCUGGGAAGGCUGGAGGAGUGGGCUGGGUGUUCCAGAGUGACUUCCAGAACAGCGCCACAGCGUCAGCCCACUUGGGGAGCUUUCGCCACUGCCACAAUCCUGAAGCGGGAAAAUCAGGAAGCAGACAUGGCAAAUGGUACAUCCAGGAAUACAACGGCCCCGCUGUGAUCCAUGGCUGGGGAGAAGGCCAUGGCAGCCAUUGCCUCCAGAAGAGUGCUGCAGCUGCCAGGUCCACUUUCGCAGAACACAGACCUCCUACUCUACCAUGAAAUCAGCAACUGGACACUGGGACCUCUGCCACUGUUACUGCAGGAAAACCCAGGGCCCCUGUGAACCAGCCGGUCAACAGCAGCAUUGGAUGGACCCAAGUAGAGACUUUUACCUUCAUCACACUUUCUGAAUCUCAUGCAAUUGUUUAUGUUUGGCCAACCUAAAUCCUAUUUGAAUUUUAACUGCAAGAGAUGAUGGGAAAUGCCACUUUAAGUUUUUCAGUCUUUCAGUUUGGGAAGGUGCACUAGGGUAAUGGGAAUGCUAGGAUAGUGGGGUUUUGGCCUGCAACCAAUAAACAUACAUUUAAAUAAAA
Non-coding RNA from Chlorocebus sabaeus (green monkey), 1922 nucleotides. The record is from RefSeq and is a predicted model, not a curated record. NCBI's taxonomy places the organism in Eukaryota, Metazoa, Chordata, Mammalia, Primates, Cercopithecidae.